Molecule: non-coding RNA, 88 nt
Organism: Mycena latifolia
Lineage: Eukaryota; Fungi; Basidiomycota; Agaricomycetes; Agaricales; Mycenaceae
Source: the annotation of a GenBank genome assembly
UCGGACAUGGUGUACGGUACACGGCCUCUCGUUAUAUCCACGCUUCGAUUUCCAGAGGUAGAUCGGGGUUCGACUCCCCGUGUCCGAA